Molecule: long non-coding RNA, 2254 nt
Organism: Chenopodium quinoa (quinoa)
Lineage: Eukaryota; Viridiplantae; Streptophyta; Magnoliopsida; Caryophyllales; Amaranthaceae
Exons: 3
Source: RefSeq, a predicted model, not a curated record
ACUAUCAAUCAAAACCUAAGGGACUCAACAGCUCUCAUCUCUCGUGUGAGGUCUUCGAUUUUCGUUUGAAUCUUGUUCGACUUAAAGCAAGUGGUGAACGGUUAGAGAGACAGUUAGACCGGCUUCACCGUCACCUGCAACUCUUUUGACCAAGACACCGUCACCAUUAACGGCUUCCGGUACUGGCGCUUGAAAGGCUUUAUGUUUUGCUGAGCGUUCAAAAGGGGUUUGAAAAGUUUGUGAUGUUGGGAAACAUUAAGCAAAAAUCUAAUGUUCUGUAUUAUCAUAGUAUUAAUUUAGAGUAUAUAUCUUCUAGAGCAGUUUGAAGCCACAUCUUAUACAAGUUUAGCAGAUAAUUUUUAAGGUUGGAUAUAUAUAUUUUUCAAUAUGCUAUGAGUUCCAUACCCUUCUUUCUGGUGUUUUUGCUUUUUAAUCUACUGAAUGUUUUUAUUUUCUAUAGUUGUAUAGAAAGGCGUAGUUGGGUUCUGGAUCAAGUGAUUUAUUGUAUUGUGGUCCUUGAGAAAGACUUCUAGUUGCCUGCAAACAGUGGCGGACCCACGUGUAGUCAUAGUGGGUCCGCGGACCACCUAUUAUUUUAUAAAAAAAAAAAACACUAUGUAUUAAGGAUUUAGCUUGCAGCCUAGUGGUUUUUUUCCCAUCCUACCAUUCAUGAGACGUGGGUUCAAAUCCCAUUACUCACAAUUUUUUUUUUUUUGGCUUUAGAAUGAAAACAUAAGUCAGAACCCCAAUUCCCCCAAAUUAAAACCCUAAGUCCCAAACUCACCUAAAUCGAAAUCCCCAAACUCCAGCAACCCCGUCGCCGUUCACCGCCUCACCGGCCGUUUUUCUUGCUCCUUCUCAACUUCUCACCGUCGCGGCAUCCUAUUAGCUUCAGUCCGUCACUCCGUCAAGCGUUGAGGCGUAGCGUGAGAAGACUGAGAACAGAGGCAGCGUGAGACUUAGUUCAGUCCACUGCCCGCAACCGCAGCAAAACCACUGGCCAGCAACCCCGUCGCCGACCUCGCCAGCAACUUCAGUCGUCUGUCCCGGCGUCCCGCAACCGCAGCAAGGCUCUGCUCAGGCGUGAGUGUGAGGUCUUAAUUCCGUACUCCGUGAAUUCAAUUUUGUUUUGAGAAUGAAAAGAAAAACAACUCGAGAUAUUUCAAGUUUUUUUACUAAAAAAGUGCGUACUCUAAAUCCUCCUCCUCCACAAAAUGAUACUCCUCCUCCACAAAAUGAUACUCCUCCUCCACUAAAUGAUUUACCCUUCAAGAAAGUGAACCAAGUUCUCCUUUACAUCAUGCUAGUGAACAACAUUCUUCCCCAUCUCACAAUUUCACUCAAAAUGAAGAUGGGCAAUCUUUUCCCCGAGGUGGUUCGGAUCCUAGUGCUCAAAUUGGUGAAGGAAGGUUAAGUGCACUUGAUAUUAUUAAUCAAAUUGGUGAUGGAUGAUAUUGUAAAUCGUUAUCAAAAUAUGAAAACUCGUCGAGAGCAAUUGUAAUAAAAUUAAUAAUUUUUUAGUUGUAAUACGAAUUUGCAUUACUUUAUGAAAUGAACUUUUUUAUGUAUUUUUUUUUUGUUCAUUAUACAAGUUUUGACUUUUUUUUGAUACUUUAUGCGGUCGAUGGACGAUGAUGGGACCACCUAUUAAUCAAAUCCUAGAUCCGCCACUGCCUGCAAAUAAUUAGCCAUUGUGACCUUUGUACAUAGUGCUACCUUUAAUGUGAGCCUUUAAUUAAUCUGUGUCAUGAUUCAAGCUAUAUAUUGGCAAAUUUAUGUAUUUGUUCAGACAUAUACAUUGACAUCACUAGUUUGAGUUAAUCAGUUAAGCAUCUCUCUUGAGGGGCUUUCUAUUAUCUUAAGUGGAUUUUAUUGAUCUAACAAUUGUUCUUUUAAGUUUUUCAUGAGAAUUUCUCAUCUUUAGUAUAUAAGAUUGUCUAAUUGGUACAUUAUGAAACAUUAGGUUUAGGUGGUAUUUCUUUUUUUGUUGGUUGAGGUGGAGAAUAGCAACAUUUGCUGAUAUUUGAAACUAUCCUUCCACCCAUUGCCGAUCAUAAUUUUCUUUUUUGGUUUUUCCUGAAAAGCUCUAAUUCUUUAUUAAAUGUAGUUCACUUCAGUGGUUGAGUCAUCAACAUUUAUAGGAUCUCUGAAAUACAUCGGGUGUAUAGGUUAUGAAAUAUAUUAGACUUGUACUUAUUGACAAGAUGCUUUUUUUAUACCCUCGGGGUGAUUUUUUUCUUUUAAUAAUUAUUAA